This 239-nucleotide unclassified non-coding RNA is filed under the name Hevea brasiliensis (rubber tree). The record is from RNAcentral. Lineage: Eukaryota; Viridiplantae; Streptophyta; Magnoliopsida; Malpighiales; Euphorbiaceae.
AUAAUUUUUCCAGUUAUACCAUAUGUUGUCCUUGCAAUCUUUUAUAUGGUCUGGUUUUCAGCUGCUUUUCAUCUUUUUAGUUCUGGCCGAAUUGUCCAAAAUGACUGCGAUUCCAGCUGCUGUGCCUAUGACCUUGAGUCAAAAAAGGUUAGCUGUGAUCACUGCUGUGGCUAUAGCAUCCAUUAUACUUCUCAUAUAGCAGUUGCCAUCAUUUUCCACCUGUUUGGAUGUUACUGGGC